CAUUACUGUAAGAACUUAGGGUUUUUGAGACUGCGCCACCGAGCGUGUGCUCGAACCCUUACUCUUUCAUCCACACACACCUGUGCACCAUGGGACGUCAAGUCCCCUUUUCACAAACACCAAGUCAUACGCAUGUCUUACUUUGCUCUACGGAGUAUUAGAACAACUUUCAACAACGGAUCUCUUGGCUUUCGCAUCGAUGAAGAACGCAGCGAACGUGCGAAACGUAAUGUGAAUUGCAGAAUUCAGUGAAUCAUCGAAUCUUUGAACGCAUCUUGCGCUCCUUGGUAUUCCGAGGAGCAUGCCUGUUUGAGUGUCGUGAAGUCACCUCAAUUUCAAUCCUUUUUGGUUUGAAAUUGGAUUUGGGUGUUGCCGUGAGAUCCUCACGACUCAUCCUAAAUGCAUUAGCGAUCUGCCGUUUUGAUCACACGCAAUGUGAUAAGAUAUUUAAAGCAUUGCAAGGGUCGAAUUCAGGAUUGCUUCCAACCGUCCGAAAGGACAAAGUACUUAUGUCAUUUGACCUCAGAUCAGGUAGGACUACCCGCUGAACUUAAGCAUAUCA
This 562-nucleotide ribosomal RNA is filed under the name Geastrum saccatum. RNAcentral describes it as "eukaryotic LSU rRNA". The stretch from base 165 to 319 matches the Rfam family "5.8S ribosomal RNA". Lineage: Eukaryota; Fungi; Basidiomycota; Agaricomycetes; Geastrales; Geastraceae. The record is from RNAcentral.